UAGUCCACGCCGUAAACGAUGUGUGCUAGUUGUUGGGUCCUUAAGGAUUCAGUGACGGAGUUAACGCAUUAAGCACACCGCCUGGGGAGUACGGCCGCAAGGUUAAAACUCAAAGGAAUUGACGGGGACCCGCACAAGCGGUGGAGCAUGUUCUUUAAUUCGAAGCAACGCGAAGAACCUUACCUACACUUGACAUACCUAUCGGGAUUAGCAGAGAUGCUUUUCUUCGGUUCGGCCGGAUAGGAUACAGGUGCUGCAUGGCUGUCGUCAGCUCGUGUCGUGAGAUGUUGGGUUAAGUCCCGCAACGAGCGCAACCCUCGCCAUCUGUUGCCAGCAUUUAGUUGGGCACUCUGAUGGGACUGCCGGUGAUAAGCCGGAGGAAGGUGGGGACGACGUCAAGUCAUCAUGGCCCUUACGUGUAGGGCUAGAAACGUGCUACAAUGGCAACUACAAUGGGCAGCGAACUCGCGAGGGUGAGCUAAUCUCCAAAAGUUGUCUCAGUUCGG
Molecule: ribosomal RNA, 506 nt
Filed under: uncultured bacterium
Lineage: Bacteria
Description: bacterial SSU rRNA
Rfam family: Bacterial small subunit ribosomal RNA
Source: RNAcentral